Molecule: long non-coding RNA, 1202 nt
Organism: Helicoverpa armigera (cotton bollworm)
Lineage: Eukaryota; Metazoa; Arthropoda; Insecta; Lepidoptera; Noctuidae
Exons: 3
Source: RefSeq, a predicted model, not a curated record
AGUCAGAAAUGUGUCAAAGUCAAAGAUGAAGAUCUAGCUAGGUUAACCGGCCAAUUGCGCAAGAGAUAUCUUGUUAUGCAAUUAUGAUGGCGGAAAUUGUAUCGAGUGAUGUAAUAAGUGUAUUGUGUUGUGAGGUUGUGAGUGGAUAUGUUUAUUGUGUGAAUCAUAAGUAUUAGUGUGGUGUGGGGCGAACAUGUUAAUGCUGACCCGUUGCGGAUGACCAUGCGACACAGUAUGUGAAAUGCUUUCCAAUGAUGGUUCAAGGUCCAGAAGUGAUAUACUUUGGAUGAAUAUGGAGUGAAGCAGACAGGAGGCAGCCAAACCACUCCACAACACUGCUGGGGAUCCCCCAAGGACUGUGGGCCAAACCACAUAAGGCCCCUUAAAGGUGGUGGAAGGUCAUUCCAGCAGUGUGUGGCUGCAAAUCUGAAACUACCCCUGAAAGCUGCAGUUUUGUGAGGUGGGACCCUAAGCGGAGCAACUAUGGAGCGAAGACCAUGUCUGUAGCACGUUUCUUUCCAUGUCAGUUUUUCAAAUAAGUAGUGCGGCUUAUGGGUUGAAACAAUUCCAAACAUUAGGCUAGCAAGAUGCAGUUUUCGCCUGGCAGCCAUUUUUAACAUUUUAAUUUGAUUGAUAUAUGGCGUUACGUGGUGCCUGCGGGGGACUUUGAUGCAAAAUCUGACACAGGCAUUCUGAACCCGCUGUAUCAGCCUAUCUGUCCUAGCAAGCAAGCAAGGCCCGUAUACGGUAUCACAGUAAUUCAGCUUAGAUAGGACUAGAGUGUCAACAAGUUGUUUCCUAAGAGGCAGGCUAAGAAAAUUACGGAUACCAUAUAGUACCUUUAGUCUGUAGAAACAGUUUCUAACGAUGUUGUUUAUGUGAGCCUCAAAGUGCAGCUCCGGAUCCAAGGUUAGGCCCAGACUACACGCUUGUUCUACGCGUUCAAUUUUUUCCCCCUGAAUGACUAUCUCAGGCUUGGCAGCUACUAUAUUGGUGACCUGUUUUUUUGUACCUAGCACCAUAAACUUGGACUUAAGGGGAUUAAGCAGCAAACAAUUUCCCUCCGACCAAGCAACUAUCCGCUGCAGAUCCUCAUUUAUUCUUUGAACUGCAGCUACCACAUCAUCCCCCUUGAAGGAAGUGUACAGCUGGAUAUCAUCCGCAUACAUGUGAUAUCUGCAGUUCACAAGGGAUUUAACUAU